AAAUCCGGUUGAUCCUGCCGGAGGCUACCGCUAUUGGAGUUCGAUUAAGCCAUGCGAGUCUAGAGGCCUAGCCUCGGCGUACCGCUCAGUAACACGUGGGUAACCUACCCUAUGCUGGGGAAUAAGCUCGGGAAACUGAGAAUAAU
RNAcentral lists this ribosomal RNA (146 nucleotides) under Candidatus Poseidoniales archaeon. Its description in RNAcentral is "Marine Group II euryarchaeote (marine metagenome) partial 16S ribosomal RNA". It matches the Rfam family "Archaeal small subunit ribosomal RNA", at positions 1 to 150 of the family's 1478-position model. The record is from RNAcentral. Lineage: Archaea; Methanobacteriati; Thermoplasmatota; Candidatus Poseidoniia; Candidatus Poseidoniales.